This is a long non-coding RNA of Bacillus rossius redtenbacheri, 1992 nucleotides long. RefSeq lists it as uncharacterized. The transcript has 3 exons. NCBI's taxonomy places the organism in Eukaryota, Metazoa, Arthropoda, Insecta, Phasmatodea, Bacillidae. The record is from RefSeq and is a predicted model, not a curated record.
UCGUGUCCAAUCCAAACAAAAUAUUAUUUUCAGCGGGAGAGCAAACAAAAGACAAUCGAAAUGAAAUAGGGCGCUUUUCCACACACACUCCAAGUACUUGAUCUAAGAAAAUUUUUGUGCCAUGUUGCCAGAUCUUCACUGAAAGUGGAUGGGAACAAGCUUUCAGCUGGCAGUCAUUCGAAAGGCGUUUUUGAAGUAUGAGAGGUGGAGAGUCUGCCAGAUGAAUGAGAGUUGGAUGCGCUUUCGAAGGUAAACUCUGAAUUCGGGCCUAAGGGCCGAAACUAUAGACCUCUCUCGAAAGUGCUGUUAACAGACAUUCACUUGGCAGCUUGUCAACCGUUCACAACGUAUAAAGGACUUUCGAGAGUUUGCCAGCUGAAUGCGCUUUCACAGCCAAAUGGUAUUUAAAUAUGGCAACAGCGCACGGUUUUAGCGAGUUUUGGGGUGUUUAGAACUGGUGUAGGAAAGCGCCCAUAUUUUGUUGAUAUUCAUUUGUCUGUUACACCAUAAAUAUUUAUACAGAAAAUGUGGUUCAGUCGUAUCGGGUGCUUAUUGCGAUGAGUGUUUGUACCGAAAAUAAACGAUUGAUUCCUUUCACCCAGGCGGAGAAGUAUUUAUUGUAUGACUUAAUCAAAAAGUACAAGCAUAUAAUAGAAAAUAAAAAAACAGAUGCUGUCACAAACAACGAAAAGAAGCUAGCGUGGAAACGAAUUUCUGUGGAGUUUAAUGCCAGUGAUGUAACGAAACGAGACGAUGCACAGCUUAAAAGGUGUUGGGAGAAGACGAAAACUACUGCAAAGAAACAUAAAAUAGCGGAAAGGCAGCAUGCAAUGAAGACUGGUGGUGGCAGUGCCUUUGUAAAGAAGCCUGAAGUUGAAGAAGUGGUGACAAUAGUUUCAUCAAUUCAACCUCACUUCGAUCUGGACGUGAACUGUCCUUGGGACAGUAAUGCUGUUCAUCUCCAGGAAGCAAGAAAUAUUACUUUUGACAUACAAGAGGUACCUCUGGCUGGCAGCAGUCAUCAAAGUUGUGACAUGUCAUCAGCAACACUUCUCGAAACCACUGAUGAUGUGGACAAUCCUGAUAUGUCACCAACAUUACAGCUUGGUUUAGUACAUCCUGACAUUGUUUCACAUAACGAAGAGGCCUCAUCACACAAUAACUCAACCCCUCGAGCUGCACCUCGCAAAAACUCUUCAUUUACUGUGAAGUCGACACGCAUGGUUGAAGCUGAAGUAAAAAAACGAAUUGAAAAAAUUGAUUUUGAGAUGGAGAUGCUUCGUGAAGCUCAUCGCUCACGAAUGAAGCAAGAUGCGGAAAUCCAUUCUCUAAAAAUUGCAAGAGAAAAGAACUUGUUGCGUAUUUCAGAAAUUGAAAAGGAGAUUAAAGAAAAAGAACUGAUGAAGAAUUGUUAAUUUUUUUUUUUGCUUUCCAGUCUCAUAAUGUAAUUAAUGGUGAUAUAUUCCUACAGUAUCUAAUAAAAAUCUUACAAACAGUACAUGCUACAAUUUGUCUUCUCCCCUCCCUGUUGAUCCCAUGCUUUGAGGUUGGCAUUAAACCUAAUGUCUGAGAAUAAUUGUUUCUGAUAUCAACAGGUAUGAGGAUACUAAUAUUGUUGGUGUGAUGUUUUUGCUUUUCGAAGCUAUCUUUACAUUCUCCUACAGAUACAUAAAUUUUGCACUGCUGCUUUCCUCACUGCAUCUUGUAAUGAUAUGUUUUAUGUACUAAAAGGUGUAUUUGUAAAUACUGGUGAUAAAUUUUGUGGUUAUAUACAGUAGAUGCAAUUAAUGCACACUUAUAAUUUGGCGGUGGCACAAAUGAAAUUUAUAAACUACUUAUGUUUGAAAUUAUUAUUAUUGUUUGUCACUUACAAAUUACUCCUAGGUGUUAAUAUGUAAAGCAUUAUGCCACAACUCAUGCUUAUGCAACCUAAUCACAUAUAUAAGCACAGAUAUUUGCAUUUUCAAACAAUUACUGAAGAGUUUGUGCAAG